This 253-nucleotide ribosomal RNA is filed under the name uncultured bacterium. Its description in RNAcentral is "partial 16S ribosomal RNA". It matches the Rfam family "Bacterial small subunit ribosomal RNA", at positions 524 to 776 of the family's 1533-position model. The record is from RNAcentral.
CACGUAGGGCGCAAGCGUUGUCCGGAAUUAUUGGGCGUAAAGAGCUCGUAGGCGGUCUGUUACGUCUGCUGUGAAAACCCAGGGCUUAACCCUGGGCUUGCAGUGGAUACGGGCAGACUAGAGGCAGGUAGGGGAGAAUGGAAUUCCCGGUGUAGCGGUGAAAUGCGCAGAUAUCGGGAGGAACACCGGUGGCGAAGGCGGUUCUCUGGGCCUGACCUGACGCUGAGGGGCGAAAGCGUGGGGAGCAAACAGG